RNAcentral lists this ribosomal RNA (321 nucleotides) under Triticum aestivum (bread wheat). Its description in RNAcentral is "partial small subunit ribosomal RNA". The record is from RNAcentral. Lineage: Eukaryota; Viridiplantae; Streptophyta; Magnoliopsida; Poales; Poaceae.
AUGUGCUCCCCUGCCCGAGCAGCCUCCACGCCGACCCCAUCGCCCUCCUCCCAUGCUUCCGGCGCUGCCGCAAUCAGCAGCACCACCGGAGUUCCCCUCGCCGUCGGGCACCACCACCAGCGCCGGUCGCCGCCGUCCCGUUCAUAUUCCAGCGAGGCGAGGAACCGAGCUCCAUCCGCCGCAGCGCCCUGCAUCGCCCGAAGCCGCCCCUGUGCUCCCGUCGAACCUGCAGCCAACACCUCGUUCUACAGCCAUGGCGCCGCCGGCCUCUCUCGCGCCGCUGUGCCUCCUCUUCAUCAAACCAGAAGGUUCACGUCGUGA